UCGAACGGUAACAGGUCUUCGGAUGCUGACGAGUGGCGAACGGGUGAGUAAUACAUCGGAACGUGCCCGAGAGUGGGGGAUAACGAAGCGAAAGCUUUGCUAAUACCGCAUACGAUCUCAGGAUGAAAGCAGGGGACCGCAAGGCCUUGCGCUCACGGAGCGGCCGAUGGCAGAUUAGGUAGUUGGUGGGAUAAAAGCUUACCAAGCCGACGAUCUGUAGCUGGUCUGAGAGGACGACCAGCCACACUGGGACUGAGACACGGCCCAGACUCCUACGGGAGGCAGCAGUGGGGAAUUUUGGACAAUGGGCGCAAGCCUGAUCCAGCCAUGCCGCGUGCAGGAUGAAGGCCUUCGGGUUGUAAACUGCUUUUGUACGGAACGAAAAGACUCUGGUUAAUACCUGGGGUCCAUGACGGUACCGUAAGAAUAAGCACCGGCUAACUACGUGCCAGCAGCCGCGGUAAUACGUAGGGUGCGAGCGUUAAUCGGAAUUACUGGGCGUAAAGCGUGCGCAGGCGGUUAUGUAAGACAGA
RNAcentral lists this ribosomal RNA (533 nucleotides) under bacterium enrichment culture. RNAcentral's name for it is "bacterial SSU rRNA". It matches the Rfam family "Bacterial small subunit ribosomal RNA", at positions 62 to 592 of the family's 1533-position model. The record is from RNAcentral.